UUAAACAAGAGAGUUCGAUCCUGGCUCAGGAUGAACGCUGGCGGCAUGCCUAACACAUGCAAGUCGAACGGAGUGCUU
Molecule: ribosomal RNA, 78 nt
Filed under: Acetitomaculum ruminis DSM 5522
Lineage: Bacteria; Bacillati; Bacillota; Clostridia; Lachnospirales; Lachnospiraceae
Description: 16S rRNA. Bacterial SSU
Rfam family: Bacterial small subunit ribosomal RNA
Source: RNAcentral